Molecule: ribosomal RNA, 2082 nt
Filed under: Escherichia coli
Lineage: Bacteria; Pseudomonadati; Pseudomonadota; Gammaproteobacteria; Enterobacterales; Enterobacteriaceae
Description: partial 23S ribosomal RNA
Rfam family: Bacterial large subunit ribosomal RNA
Source: RNAcentral
UAAUGUUGAAAAAUUAGCGGAUGACUUGUGGCUGGGGGUGAAAGGCCAAUCAAACCGGGAGAUAGCUGGUUCUCCCCGAAAGCUAUUUAGGUAGCGCCUCGUGAAUUCAUCUCCGGGGGUAGAGCACUGUUUCGGCAAGGGGGUCAUCCCGACUUACCAACCCGAUGCAAACUGCGAAUACCGGAGAAUGUUAUCACGGGAGACACACGGCGGGUGCUAACGUCCGUCGUGAAGAGGGAAACAACCCAGACCGCCAGCUAAGGUCCCAAAGUCAUGGUUAAGUGGGAAACGAUGUGGGAAGGCCCAGACAGCCAGGAUGUUGGCUUAGAAGCAGCCAUCAUUUAAAGAAAGCGUAAUAGCUCACUGGUCGAGUCGGCCUGCGCGGAAGAUGUAACGGGGCUAAACCAUGCACCGAAGCUGCGGCAGCGACGCUGAUGCGUUGUUGGGUAGGGGAGCGUUCUGUAAGCCUGUGAAGGUGUGCUGUGAGGCAUGCUGGAGGUAUCAGAAGUGCGAAUGCUGACAUAAGUAACGAUAAAGCGGGUGAAAAGCCCGCUCGCCGGAAGACCAAGGGUUCCUGUCCAACGUUAAUCGGGGCAGGGUGAGUCGACCCCUAAGGCGAGGCCGAAAGGCGUAGUCGAUGGGAAACAGGUUAAUAUUCCUGUACUUGGUGUUACUGCGAAGGGGGGACGGAGAAGGCUAUGUUGGCCGGGCGACGGUUGUCCCGGUUUAAGCGUGUAGGCUGGUUUUCCAGGCAAAUCCGGAAAACUAAGGCUGAGGCGUGAUGACGAGGCACUACGGUGCUGAAGCAACAAAUGCCCUGCUUCCAGGAAAAGCCUCUAAGCAUCAGGUAACAUCAAAUCGUACCCCAAACCGACACAGGUGGUCAGGUAGAGAAUACCAAGGCGCUUGAGAGAACUCGGGUGAAGGAACUAGGCAAAAUGGUGCCGUAACUUCGGGAGAAGGCACGCUGAUAUGUAGGUGAAGUCCCUCGCGGAUGGAGCUGAAAUCAGUCGAAGAUACCAGCUGGCUGCAACUGUUUAUUAAAAACACAGCACUGUGCAAACACGAAAGUGGACGUAUACGGUGUGACGCCUGCCCGGUGCCGGAAGGUUAAUUGAUGGGGUCAGCGCAAGCGAAGCUCUUGAUCGAAGCCCCGGUAAACGGCGGCCGUAACUAUAACGGUCCUAAGGUAGCGAAAUUCCUUGUCGGGUAAGUUCCGACCUGCACGAAUGGCGUAAUGAUGGCCAGGCUGUCUCCACCCGAGACUCAGUGAAAUUGAACUCGCUGUGAAGAUGCAGUGUACCCGCGGCAAGACGGAAAGACCCCGUGAACCUUUACUAUAGCUUGACACUGAACAUUGAGCCUUGAUGUGUAGGAUAGGUGGGAGGCUUUGAAGUGUGGACGCCAGUCUGCAUGGAGCCGACCUUGAAAUACCACCCUUUAAUGUUUGAUGUUCUAACGUUGACCCGUAAUCCGGGUUGCGGACAGUGUCUGGUGGGUAGUUUGACUGGGGCGGUCUCCUCCUAAAGAGUAACGGAGGAGCACGAAGGUUGGCUAAUCCUGGUCGGACAUCAGGAGGUUAGUGCAAUGGCAUAAGCCAGCUUGACUGCGAGCGUGACGGCGCGAGCAGGUGCGAAAGCAGGUCAUAGUGAUCCGGUGGUUCUGAAUGGAAGGGCCAUCGCUCAACGGAUAAAAGGUACUCCGGGGAUAACAGGCUGAUACCGCCCAAGAGUUCAUAUCGACGGCGGUGUUUGGCACCUCGAUGUCGGCUCAUCACAUCCUGGGGCUGAAGUAGGUCCCAAGGGUAUGGCUGUUCGCCAUUUAAAGUGGUACGCGAGCUGGGUUUAGAACGUCGUGAGACAGUUCGGUCCCUAUCUGCCGUGGGCGCUGGAGAACUGAGGGGGGCUGCUCCUAGUACGAGAGGACCGGAGUGGACGCAUCACUGGUGUUCGGGUUGUCAUGCCAAUGGCACUGCCCGGUAGCUAAAUGCGGAAGAGAUAAGUGCUGAAAGCAUCUAAGCACGAAACUUGCCCCGAGAUGAGUUCUCCCUGACUCCUUGAGAGUCCUGAAGGAACGUUGAAG